Long non-coding RNA from Salvelinus fontinalis (brook trout), 5387 nucleotides. RefSeq lists it as uncharacterized. The transcript has 3 exons. NCBI's taxonomy places the organism in Eukaryota, Metazoa, Chordata, Actinopteri, Salmoniformes, Salmonidae. The record is from RefSeq and is a predicted model, not a curated record.
GGCCUGGUGGAAUGGUAAACGCCACCCCCGGCUCUACCAGGGGCUUGAGGUGGUCUCCCACAGCUCUGCUGGUGGAAUGGUAAAUCACUCCAAGCUGCAUUAGGUUCAGAUCUACCAGGAUGGGCCUUUGACAGAGUCUGGAUGCAGUCAGGACACCAAAUAUGCAUAAGCAAUGUAAAGAGAUGGGGAAAGUACAUUUGAAUCAAAUUACCUUCAUAAAUCAAAUGUGUGUCACAUACACUUUAUUUUUGAGCAGAUGUUAUUGCGGGUAUAGUGAAAUGCUUGUGUUCCUAGCUCCAACAGUGCAGUAAUAUCUAACUAAAUGCUUGUGUUCCUAGCUCCAACAGUGCAGUAGUAUCUAACUAAAUGCUUGUGUUCCUAGCUCCAACAGUGCAGUAGUAUCUAACUAAAUGCUUGUGUUCCUAGUUCCAACAGUGCAGUAGGGUCUAACUAAAUGCUUGUGUUCCUAGUUCCAACAGUGCAGUAGUAUCAAACUAAAUGCUUGUGUUCCUAGCUCCAACAGUGCAGUAAUAUUCAACUAAUUGCUUGUGUUCCUAGCUCCAACAGUGCAGUAAUAUUUAACUAAAUGCUUGUGUUCCUAGCUCCAACAGUGCAGUAAUAUAUAACUAAAUGCUUGUGUUCCUAGCUCCAACAGUGCAGUAGUAUGUAACUAAAUGCUUGUGUUCCUAGCUCCAACAGUGCAGUAAUAUCUAACUAAAUGCUUGUGUUCCUAGCUCCAACAGUGCAGUAAUAUCUAACUAAAUGCUUGUGUUCCUAGCUCCAACAGUGCAGUAAUAUCUAACUAAAUGCUUGUGUUCCUAGCUCCAACAGAGCAGUAAUAUCUAACUAAAUGCUUGUGUUCCUAGCUCCAACAGUACAGUAAUAUCUAACAAAAUGCUUGUGUUCCUAGCGCCAACAGUGCAGUAAUAUCUAACAAAAUGCUUGUGUUCCUAGCUCCAACAGUGCAGUAAUAUCUAACUAAAUGCUUGUGUUCCUAGCUCCAACAGUGCAGUAAUAUCUAACUAAAUGCUUGUGUUCCUAGCUCCAACAAUGCAGUAAUAUCUAACUAAAUGCUUGUGUUCCUAGCUCCAACAAUUCCUGUAAUAUCGAACUAAAUGCUUGUGUUCCUAGCUCCAACAGUGAUGUAAUAUCGAACUAAAUGCUUGUGUUCCUAACUCAAACAGUGCGGUAAUAUCUAACAAUUUCACAACAAAUACCUAAUACACACAAAUCUAAGUAAUGGAAUAAGAAUAUAUAAAUAUAUGGACGAGCGAUGUCAGAGUGGCAAAGACAGUAGAAUAGAAUAUAAUACAGUAUAUACAUAUGAGAUGAGUAAUGCAUAGACUAAGAUACAGUAGAAUAUGAUAGAAUACAGUAUAUACAUAUGAGAUGAGUAAUGCAUAGACUAAGAUACAGUAGAAUAUGAUAGAAUACAGUAUAUACAUAUGAGAUGAGUAAUGCAUAGACUAAGAUACAGUAGAAUAUGAUAGAAUACAGUAUAUACAUAUGAGAUGAGUAAUGCCAGAUAUGUAACAAUGAUUUCAAGUCUGUGUAUGUAGGCUGUGUUAGUGAUGGAAAAACCGCUUCUGUCUCUCGGUCCCAGCUUUGAUGCACCUGUACUGACCUCACCUUCUGGAUGAUAGCGGGCUGAACAGGCAGUGGCACGAAUGUAAAUAAACAUAGAUAAUGGAACAUAUUCCCUUUUGCUGACGUGAUGAACCGCUAUGGGGACAUAAAUAUUUACCAUCUGAACCAUGUGUGACCUCUCACCUCUCUGGCUGUAGAAGUGUUCUUCCUAACCAGUCCCUCAACAGCUCUCUGACUGAGCUCCACCCUCACUGGGUCUUCAGAGGAGAGGAAGGCUGAGGAGGGAUGGAAGGAUGAAUGGAUCAGUCAGUCAAUAAAGUGUAGAGCUGCUGUCUGACAAAAUCCCUAUUAUAGUAGUUCAUUAAAGUAAAUAUGGAUUUAUGACUGCUGAAUACCAACUAUCAAUCACUUAGAUCAUGUAUUUUCAGGUUGAGAUACAUCCUUGGGACGUCCCUAGCCCGUUGAAGUUGACUUUUAAAAUGGCUAAGGUUAGGGUUUAGGGUAGGGAUAGCAUUGACCAUUGUGCAUUAUUCUGUCUCUUUUACAUAGCAGGUGUAAAAGAAACACAGACAAGACAAGUAGGUAUGCAGUGCAUUAUGGUCAUUGGAGUUUAAGAAAUGGCAUCUAAUUAUUCCAAUCUGUGUGUGGGGUUGUUAGAGAAGAAUGUGAUUGUCAGCCCUACCAAUCCAGUCUAGCACCUCAUCAGGCUCUGAAAAAGUCUUCAUUGAUGACGUGUUCCUUCAAUUCCAGGGGACAGCAGAGGAACUUCAUCGAUUCCACUCCUUCAUCAAUACAAGCAGUGAACAUCUGAAAUUCACCCUCACCUUUGAUGUGCAUGAAACAAGUUAUCUGGACAUUUUGACUAAGUGGGAGGGGGGUGGUUUUAGCACAGACCUAUACAGGAAGUCGACGGACAGGAAUUCCCUGUUACGCGGAGACAGUUUCCACCCUACACCCCUAAAAAAACAAUUGUAAUACAUGAGUGAAGGAAACAUUUAAAAUGUAAAUUUGUAAUUUUAAUUUUGUAAAUUUAAAACAAAAACAUAACUGUUUGUACUUACAACUAAGUUACUAAGUCUUUAACCAGACUGUGUUACCCUGGUGAGUAAAAACUCAUGCUUCCUACCCUUUAACUUUUUGUCUGAAAAUAAAAUGUACAUUUUACUGAACUGCGUCCAGUCAGCAGACUAGAUGCCGCUUAGGCCGCCCGUUGUGACUCCGUCAAGAAUUCAGCAGAGCAAGUUUGUAUGAAGGUCUGGUUAUUAAAUAGGUACGUAGUUCAAUAGUAAUAUCCUUUAAAACGCUCUGGUGACAAACUUUACUGCCCUGUUUCCAGUUGUCCACAUGGCUGGGAGAACCUAUUCAAGCAUGUAAAUAGAUUUUGAAAAUGUAAAAAAAUAUAUAUAUUAUUAGCUUACUAGCUACAGGGCAGGCUAACUCUAAUGAGCUAGCUUGUUGGCUAGCUAGCUAUCUAACCAACUUCAAAUACUGUAUAGAUAGACAGCUAAGUGAAUUAAAUAUCACCAGCUACCUAACUUCAUAUUAGCUAGCUGUCUUGAUGUAUUUAUCACUGUGAAAAAAUCCAAAUGCAUUUGUAGGUAGCUAGCUAACAGCCAUGGAGGAGGGUGGAAGGAUAGCAGCCCCAACUGUCAGUGAGAGAGGAGGCUAUUCUGGAUAGGGCAGGUACUUUAGUGUAGUUCCUGUCCUUAGAAGUGAGGACGGAGAUAAUAGUAAUAUAAUAUUCAGUGUGGUGUAAUUUGACUAUAAUGAAGUGUGUUUCUUGUGAGGUUUUCAGUCCUCAGAUAAAGAGCGCUAUGAAAGCCAGUCAACAUAUGAAGAGGUCCCAAUGAAGAGCAGUGGUUCUCAGUCCUGGGGACUCAAAGAGGUGCACAUUGUUGUUUUUGCCUCAGCACUGCACAGCUGAUUCAAAUGAUCAACUCAUCAUCAAGCUUCAAGUGAUACCUUGUAACUGGAGAUUCCUUCAAAACGAUUGCCUACAGUUACCGUGUAGGGCACUGCAAGGUUGGGUGACUUGGGUCAUAUGGGACUGCCUCCUGGAGGAACUCAGAUGUGUGAAGGCUACCUGUGUCCUGCGUAACUUCAUGCGGAUGGACACGAGGACCAGGAGCGGAUCUACAGCUCGCCGCCGUGUCCCAGAGGAGGAGUCUGCUGCUCUACAGGAUGUUUCAAGGAUGGGGUCCAACAAGAGAGGCAAUCCGUGUGCAGAAGAUCUUCACCUCCUACUUCUUCAAAGAGGGGGCUGUUCCCUGGCAACACCAUAGACUACACUAUGCUCAACCAAAGGCUCUUUUAAGAGGGUGCUGUUCCCUGGCAACACCAUAGACUACACUAUGCUCAACCAAAGGCUCUUUUAAGAGCCAUCCACAUUGUAAUAUGAAUAUUCUUCCAUUUACUUAGCUAUGUCAACUGCAGUUAUUCAAUUCCUAGUUUCUCUCCCUUUGAUUUCUACUUCUCAGGUGAGUUUUUUUUUCUCAGGUUUUAGAAACUAGAGAGUGUUUUCUAUCCAAUAGUAAUAAUAAUAUGCAUAUUGUACGAGCAAGAAUUGAGUACGAAGCAGUUUAAUUUGGGAACGAUUUUUUACAAAGUCGAAAUGGCGCCCCCCUAUUGAGAAAAGGUUUUUAACUACCUUAUUUUCUCAAUAACAGUCUCUCUCCUUCACUUCACCCCGUCUCCCUAAAUCCUUUAGGUUAUAUCAGCUGUGUCGGUGAACCCCUCCUGCAUCUGAACUGGCUACAUAGAGGGCACAGCAUGAUCAGAGUUGAGAGGUCACUUGGUCAGGUCAACAGGAAGAAUUAUUAAAGAGAUGCUUUACAUUGAAAUACAGACAGAGAUGCAGUACUCCCAGAGUUGAUGAUCCCAGGUCAGUUUAUAUUAUACAGGAAGUAUUAUUAAAGAGAUGCUUAACAUUGAAAUACAGACAGAGAUGCAGUUGUCCCAGAGUUAAUGAUCCAAGGUCAGUUUUGCAUUUCACCUCCUGAUUGAUGACUAACAAUGUUAGAAUAAAAAAUAAAAACACAAGGCAUAAACAUGCUCUCUCUCUCUCCAUCUGUCUCUCAUCUGCAAAGAUGUUUUGAUGUGAUAGAGGAUGCCAACGCCCAGUCCCAUCAUCGCCACCUCACCCGCUUUUAAGAUAACAGUGUCUCUCGUCGGCCCAAAGGUUAUGUAAUUGUGAUAAACUGAGAGAAUAUUUAUGUAGCACUCUGAUUCAUUAAUCAUGUGCUGCCUUCCCUGCUCAUACGUGCUUACCUCUUUCCCUUUCUGUCUUUUACACCUCUCCCGCCAUCUCUUCUUUCUUCCUCUGUUUUUAUAAUUCACAACAGAUGUAUAUUGAAGUACAGAUUGAACUUGUAUUUAUAACACUUGGAUAAUGAGCUUUUCAAUGAAGCGUUUCACAUUCUCUACUGGUUGAAAUGAAGUGUAAUGUGAUGAAAUACUCCACCUAUCCCGUGUUUAUCAGAUCAAUGCAGAUGAAGGGCAUUAGAUGUUGAGAUGAACCGGUGUUAAGAGUAUUUACAUGAUGCAUAGGAAGUGUAGUGUUCUGUUUUUUAACAUUAUAGUUCUGUAUAUAUGAAUUAACUAGUUAAACCCGGUUUCUAGUCUAUUAGCUACAAUGUGUAACCAUUGAUGUCCCAGGACCAAGAUUGGUAAACACUGUUGAAGUGUAUAAUUGUAAUACAUACAUGCAGACACAGCGUCAUUUAAAGACUGGAAUUUGACACUCCUGGUAUUGGAUAUGACUGAAAAAUAAUCUCAAAGACAUUCAUACCUAAACUGCACAU